ACGCUUUUUACUUUAGCUUGCUAGAGUAUAAGGAGUUGCGAACGGGUGAGUAACGCGUAGGUAACCUACCUACUAGCGGGGGAUAACUAUUGGAAACGAUAGCUAAUACCGCAUAAAAGUUUUUAACACAUGUUAGAAGCUUGAAAGAUGCAAAUGCAUCACUAGUAGAUGGACCUGCGUUGUAUUAUCUAAUUGGUGGGGUAAAGGCCUACCAAGGCGACCAUACAUACCCCACCUGAGAGGGUGAACGGCCACACUGGGACUGAGACACGGCCCAUACUCCUACUGGAGGCAUCACUACGGAAUCUUCGGCAAUGGGGGCAACCCUGACCGAGCAACGCCGCGUGAGUGAAGAAGGUUUUCGGAUCUUAAAUCUCUGUUGUAAGAAAAGAACGUGUGUGAGAGUGGAAAGUUCACAUGUGACGGUGACUUACCAGAAAGGGACGGCUAAUUACUUGCCAGCAACCGCGGUAAUACGUAGGUCCCGAGCGUUGUCCGGAUUUAUUGGGCGUAAAGCGAGCGCAGGCGGUUUAAUAAGUCUGAAGUUAAAGGCAGUGGCUUAACCAUUGUUCGCUUUGGAAACUGUUAAACUUGAAUGC
RNAcentral lists this ribosomal RNA (599 nucleotides) under uncultured bacterium. RNAcentral describes it as "bacterial SSU rRNA". It matches the Rfam family "Bacterial small subunit ribosomal RNA", at positions 66 to 649 of the family's 1533-position model. The record is from RNAcentral.